RNAcentral lists this long non-coding RNA (372 nucleotides) under Salarias fasciatus (jewelled blenny). Its description in RNAcentral is "lncRNA (ENSSFAG00005009237.1)". The record is from RNAcentral. Lineage: Eukaryota; Metazoa; Chordata; Actinopteri; Blenniiformes; Blenniidae.
GACUUUGGCGGCUUCGAGCCUCUCAGGAUGCAGAAACCUGGUUUCUACGAGCCCCAGACGGACGGAGCCGGAGCCCAGGACUCUCGGUACAUGCGGGUGCGGGGCCCCUACAUGGCCCGGGGCCCCGGCCAGAUCACGGUGCCCGGCGGGGGCAUGGUGUUCCUGUUCGGGGAGGAGGACCGAGACGGGAUGGUGACGGUCAUAUACGAUGGACAGCGAGGACUCCUCCCUGUUUCCAUGCUCGAGCCUGCAGACAUGAAGACGCCCAAAAGCAAGAAGGACAAAGUAAGGCCUUGUUUACACCACCCUGGUUCAGAUGAAAUUUUUUUUUUUUGUUUGUUUGUUUUUUUUUUCAUUUCCAUAAAGGUUUGU